Molecule: ribosomal RNA, 501 nt
Filed under: uncultured bacterium
Lineage: Bacteria
Description: partial 16S ribosomal RNA
Rfam family: Bacterial small subunit ribosomal RNA
Source: RNAcentral
AUUGAACGCUGGCGGCAGGCUUAACACAUGCAAGUCGAGCGGGGGAAGGUAGCUUGCUACUGGACCUAGCGGCGGACGGGUGAGUAAUGCUUAGGAAUCUGCCUAUUAGUGGGGGACAACAUCUCGAAAGGGAUGCUAAUACCGCAUACGUCCUACGGGAGAAAGCAGGGGAUCUUCGGACCUUGCGCUAAUAGAUGAGCCUAAGUCGGAUGAGCUAGUUGGUGGGGUAAAGGCCUACCAAGGCGACGAUCUGUAGCGGGUCUGAGAGGAUGAGCCGCCACACUGGGACUGAGACACGGCCCAGACUCCUACGGGAGGCAGCAGUGGGGAAUAUUGGACAAUGGGGGGAACCCUGAUCCAGCCAUGCCGCGUGUGUGAAGAAGGCCUUAUGGUUGUAAAGCACUUUAAGCGAGGAGGAGGCUACUCUAGUUAAUACCUAGGGAUAGUGGACGUUACUCGCAGAAUAAGCACCGGCUAACUCUGUGCCAGCCGCCGCGGUAA